Molecule: non-coding RNA, 4072 nt
Organism: Podarcis lilfordi (Lilford's wall lizard)
Lineage: Eukaryota; Metazoa; Chordata; Lepidosauria; Squamata; Lacertidae
Source: the annotation of a GenBank genome assembly
CUCCAACCUACGCACCAACUGCACCCGUUGCUGCACAAGGGUUGCCAAAUCUGGGAGCAGAUGAGUGAGGGCACUGGUCCUUUCCCCCUGCCCAGAAGAACACAGGUCCUUCCCCCCUUGCCCGGGCUAAGGAUACCCAACCCCCAAGAAAAGAGACUGAGGAAGAAAGAGAAGAGGAAGUUGAGAAUGGUGAAAUUCAGGAGGAAUCAGGUGAAAUGGACAAGCAGACAGUCCAAAAGAGUAUUUCAGUAUGUGAAUUGGCAGAAAGAAAAGAGCAGAAGAUUUUUAAAGAGCCGCGUGAGAUAGAGCCAGGAAGCAAUCCAAAAGAGUGAGCUGGAUGUGGCUUCUUGAGUUCUAGAAGCAGCACAAUGCAAGGAUGUGAAUUGAUAGAAAGAAACAGAAGGGAAGGCUUUGAGAGCCGCAUGGGACAGAACUGUUAAAAAAAAGAGACAAUUAAAACCCGAGGGGUUAAAAUCCCUAGGAUUACAAUAUUGACCAUUGAGAAAAUCUGCAAGAUACAUGCCCUCAGGGCAGCGGACAAUACUGAUGUUGCAAUUGAGGCAGCUAAAACUCCACUUUGAUGGCCCCACCCCACCGAGUGUACGACCUCCUGGAGUCAUCCGACGCCCAGGACCACGGACCUCCAAGCACCCUAAAUCAGAAUCCUUCUUUCGAAGAGGACCUGGCCAAAAUAAUUAGGGGUUUGUCUUGAAACAGCCAGAGAGGAGGAUGGCACUUAGAGCCGGCAAGCAGCCAGCAGCCAAAAAUGUAAUCCCGGAGGGUGUCCACGGGAGGGGCAGAAGACGCCUAGGGAAGAAACCAGUGCGCCAUCUGCAGGCAAGAGGGUCACUGGAAAAUGGAAUGCCCACAGGCCCCACGCCCGGCACACCCCACCCCCAGAGGCUGGGAACAAUAAGAUUUCUCAAAAAUGAUUUCUUCUCAUCUCUGUUCUUGCUCAAAGACUGUUGCAGCAAAGUAAGUGAACUAACUGUUUCUAACAUUCAUUCAUGCAAGUAACAGGACAUCACCUUUUUUUUUUCUCCUUGUGCCAGGCGCUUGGAGUAGUUUAUCUUUUGGCAGCUAUCUCAGAAGGACACUGCUGCAUUCAGCCAGCUACUCUGACCUGCUACUGCCUGGAGCCAAUUAGGAUUUACAGUCAAGCGACAUAAAUCCGAAGGCCAAGGGUUACCCACCCCCUUGCCCCAAGCACUAACCUGGAAAAGUGACUUUCUUAAAAAGCAAGUGAACGCUUUCUGUGAACUGUGUCAAAAGUAUUUUUCUUUUUAAGGUGCAAUUUUACUCUGAAAAAGGAGCCGCAGCAUAACAUAGGAACUGAUACUUUGAGGAAUUUGAAACUUUGCCAGAAGCAAGGAGUGCGUUGUUCUUUCUACAGACACUGGCAAAUGAACUGAAAUUUGCAACAUAGCUUAAAGCUCUGAAAAAAAUAGAGCAGAGAAAAAGACUUUUAAAAAUCUCAGCUGGCAAAAAACUUAACCCAAGAAAAAAAGGACUGUCAAAAUAGGGUUGCCAUGUUAACCUCCUGCACUGUUCCACGUGUGAAGUCUUCCUGCCACAUACCCUAGAACUAUACCUAUGUGCAAAAUGUUAUCUAUCAAUGCGCAGUCGCUGCCGUGUCUGUUUUUCUCUUCUCUUGACAGGUGAACCGGCCAGAGACUGUCCUGUUAUCUACAGCUGUUAAGGACGCCGGCAUCUGUGACACCUGAUCUAUACCGGCCCCUUCGACUCACCCCAGACAUUGCUCCAGCAUUGUUGGAAGGGACCCAAGAUGCCCAACGCCCGUGAGAUGACCACCCUGCCUUCCUGCAUCACGCUGACGCUUGGCACGGCUCCAGAAUCCAGCAUGGACUGAAAGAGGACAUUUUCUCAUUUCCUUUCCUUUCCUUUUGCAUAACUGAACUUUAUAGAAGGUUGCAGGGCCCCUGGAUAGCUUUACAACACCCCUGCAGAGGAGGGUAUUUGUGUGGGACGUUCAAUCAGGGAAAUUAUGCCCCAGCCCGCUUCCACCUGGCAGAGCUCCACCCAGAGCCUCCAGAACUUAACUGAAGCCCCCCUUGCACCACAGCACCGACUUGGUAAUAACCCUGUGCACAAAUGGCACAGAUAAGGCUAGGUUCACCGAAUUACUGGCUGGCUUUGUGUCAAUAAAUCAAAGAGAGCCAGUGACAAUCUGCAAUUGUACCUUCCCAGCCCAAACCAUUACAUCUGAGUCCACGCCAGGAAGUCUUUCUGGCUUGGUGUGGCCUUCAGAAGGGGAAGGUAGUGUCUCUGCUCACAGACGUGUGUCAGGCAGGCUUAUGGAAGGCAAGCUUCUCAUAUCCACCCACAGGGAUGGUAUGGAGUGUGCUUCCCAGCCUACCCAAUUCCUACCAUGGGGUUUCUGACCAGAUACCCACUGCACCCCGUCAAAGGAGACACUCGGCUGACCUAGCAACAAUUGCAGGAGGCAGCUCCCAGCUCCCAAAUUUGGGACAGCAUCAGUGACCAACCUUGGGACGAGCCGUGAAGAAGGCUGUCCAAAGAUUGAGAGUUGGGAAUGAAGAUGAGGACAGGUGACCCCGCCUAGGCCCAAAGUCCCCCCCCCCCCAAACCAGGCCUCAAACUGUCCAAAAUUCCUUUUGUCUUCUAAAAAUCCAAAACAGCUUUUCUCUGCUCUUCUCUGAUUUUCUCACAAGAUGCUGUGGCAAGGGCAAACCGUUACUUUUUAUCAGUACAAGAAUGCUUCAAAAAGCUAAUGAAUAGACUCUGUCAGAGCAGGCCUGCGACUGACUUUUAUCUCACUCUAGUUAGAAUCAUAGAAUCAUAGAGUUGGAAGAGACCACAAGGGCCACCGAGUCCAACCCCCUGCCAAGCAGGAAACACCAUCAGAGCACUCCUGACAUAUGGUUGUCAAGCCUCUGCUUAAAGACCUCCAAAGAAGGAGACUCCACCACACUCCUUGGCAGCAAAUUCCACUGUCGAACAGCUCUUACUGUCAGGAAGUUCUUCCUAAUGUUUAGGUGGAAUCUUCUUUCUUGUAGUUUGCAUCCAUUGCUCCGUGUCCGCUUCUCUGGAGCAGCAGAAAACAACCUUUCUCCCUCCUCUAUGUGACAUCCUUUUAUAUAUUUGAACAUGGCUAUCAUAUCACCCCUUAACCUCCUCUUCUCCAGGCUAAACAUGCCCAGCUCUCUUAGCCGUUCCUCAUAAGGCAUCGUUUCCAGGCCUUUGACCAUUUUGGUUGCCCUCCUCUGGACACGUUCCAGUUUGUCAGUGUCCUUCUUGAACUGUGGUGCCCAGAACUGGACACAGUACUCCAGGUGAGAUCUGACCAGAGCAGAAUACAGUGGCACUAUUACUUCCCUUGAUCUAGAUGCUAUACUCCUAUUGAUGCAGCCCAGAAUUGCAUUGGCUUUUUAGCUGCCGCGUCACACUGUUGGCUCAUGUCAAGUUUGUGGUCAACCAAGACUCCUAGAUCCUGUUCACAGGUACUGCUCUCAAGCCAGGUGUCACCCUUCGAGUAUUUGUGAGUCUCGUUUUUUUGCCCGAGUGCAAUACUUUACAUUUCUCCUGUUAAAAUUCAUCUUGUUUGUUUUGGCCCAGUUCUCUAAUCUGUCAAGGUCGUUUUGAAGUGUGAUCCUGUCCUCUGGGAGUUAGCCACCCCUCCCAGUUUGGUGUCAUCUGCAAAUUUGAUCAGGAUGCCCUUGAGUCCAUCAUCCAAGUCGUUGAUAAAGAUGUUGAAUAAGACCGGGCCCAAGACAGAACCCUGUGGCACCCCACUAGUCCCUCUUCUCCAGGAAGAGUUGCAACAUCUUUGGACAUGCUGAACUACUCUCAUUCCCCCUUUCCUGGGAAGGGUGCCAAGAGGCCACAAUAGUCCCAAGACAGCUUUCUGUACAUGCUCAGGAACCUCAACAUGGGGCAGGACUCUGGAAGGAGGAGGAGAAAGGAGGAGGGAACUGGAAGGGGUAUAUAUGCUUGUGCACAUGAUUGUGAACUCGUGCAUGCUUUUUGUGACUUACCACACUUGCUCCUUCUACCAGUUCAUGGAUGGUAGAAAUAAAAAGCCUUUUCUCCG